RNAcentral lists this ribosomal RNA (301 nucleotides) under uncultured bacterium. RNAcentral's name for it is "partial 16S ribosomal RNA". It matches the Rfam family "Bacterial small subunit ribosomal RNA", at positions 512 to 809 of the family's 1533-position model. The record is from RNAcentral.
CAGUCGCAGGUAAUACGUAGGGUGCAAGCGUUAAUCGGAAUUACUGGGCGUAAAGCGUGCGCAGGCGGUUAUAUAAGACAGAUGUGAAAUCCCCGGGCUCAACCUGGGAACUGCAUUUGUGACUGUAUAGCUAGAGUACGGCAGAGGGGGAUGGAAUUCCGCGUGUAGCAGUGAAAUGCGUAGAUAUGCGGAGGAACACCGAUGGCGAAGGCAAUCCCCUGGGCCUGUACUGACGCUCAUGCACGAAAGCGUGGGGAGCAAACAGGAUUAGAUACCCCUGUAGUCCCUGUCUCUUAUACAC